RNAcentral lists this small nuclear RNA (24 nucleotides) under Arabidopsis thaliana (thale cress). RNAcentral describes it as "snRNA_18876". Lineage: Eukaryota; Viridiplantae; Streptophyta; Magnoliopsida; Brassicales; Brassicaceae. The record is from RNAcentral.
GAACCCAAAACAGUAAGAGUUCCC